UACAGAGGGUGCAAGCGUUAAUCGGAAUUACUGGGCGUAAAGCGUGCGUAGUCGGCUUUUUAAGUCGGGUGUGAAAUCCCCGGGCUCAACCCCGGAAUUGCCUUUAAGACUGCAUCGCUAGAAUCCAGGAGAGGUGAGUGGAAUUCCGAGUGUAGAGGUGAAAUGCGCAGAUAUCGGGAGGAACACCAAUGGCGAAGGCAGCUCGCUGGGACGGUACUGACGCUGAGACGCGAAAGCGUGGGGAGCAAACAGG
This 253-nucleotide ribosomal RNA is filed under the name uncultured bacterium. Its description in RNAcentral is "partial 16S ribosomal RNA". It matches the Rfam family "Bacterial small subunit ribosomal RNA", at positions 524 to 776 of the family's 1533-position model. The record is from RNAcentral.